This 539-nucleotide long non-coding RNA is filed under the name Mustela putorius furo (domestic ferret). Its description in RNAcentral is "lncRNA (ENSMPUG00000026021.1)". The record is from RNAcentral. Lineage: Eukaryota; Metazoa; Chordata; Mammalia; Carnivora; Mustelidae.
GGGCAGGCUCGCCCCGAUGCAGGGCUUGAUCCAAGGACCCUGAGAUCAUGACCUGAGCUGAAGGCAGAGGCUUAACCCACUGGGCCACCCAGGUACCCCAAAAGAUUUUUUUUUAAAUAAAAUAAAUGAAUAAACAAACCUUGUCUUUUGCUGUGGUCCGUCUUCCUGCUGCAGCAGAUUCCUACGUGGAAGCCCCGAGUCUGCAGGGUGACAGUAUUUGGAGGUGGGGUCUUCGGGAGGCAAUUAGGUUUAGAGGAGGUCCUGCGGAUGGAUGGAGCCCUCCUGAUAGGAUUAGUGCCCUGAUAAGAAGGUUUACCCAGGAACUCACAAGGUUUUUCUGCAGCGUGAGGCCGCAGCGAGAUGAGAACUUGAACUCCCUCCGAACGCCGGCUGUGACGGCUCCAGAUUUGGACUUCCAGCCUCCAGAAUGUUUCUGUGGGUUGGAAUCCAGAACCUCCUUGCUGGGUACCUCGGAUUUCAGGGAUCCUUCACAGACUGCGUCAGGACGGCGGAUGGGCAGCAGUGAUCUUGGGGCUUGA